GAUGAACGCUGGCGGCGUGCCUAAUACAUGCAAGUCGAGCGAACAGAUGAGGAGCUUGCUCCUCUGACGUUAGCGGCGGACGGGUGAGUAACACGUGGAUAACCUACCUAUAAGACUGGGAUAACUUCGGGAAACCGGAGCUAAUACCGGAUAAUAUAUUGAACCGCAUGGUUCAAUAGUGAAAGACGGUUUUGCUGUCACUUAUAGAUGGAUCCGCGCCGCAUUAGCUAGUUGGUAAGGUAACGGCUUACCAAGGCAACGAUGCGUAGCCGACCUGAGAGGGUGAUCGGCCACACUGGAACUGAGACACGGUCCAGACUCCUACGGGAGGCAGCAGUAGGGAAUCUUCCGCAACGGGCGAAAGCCUGACGGAGCAACGCCGCGUGAGUGAUGAAGGUCUUCGGAUCGUAAAACUCUGUUAUUAGGGAAGAACAAAUGUGUAAGUAACUAUGCACGUCUUGACGGUACCUAAUCAGAAAGCCACGGCUAACUACGU
This 496-nucleotide ribosomal RNA is filed under the name uncultured bacterium. RNAcentral's name for it is "partial 16S ribosomal RNA". It matches the Rfam family "Bacterial small subunit ribosomal RNA", at positions 28 to 506 of the family's 1533-position model. The record is from RNAcentral.